CGGUGCCAGCAGCCGCGGUAAUUCCAGCUCCAAUAGCGUAUAUUAAAGUUGCUGCAGUUAAAAGCUCGUAGUUGAAUUUCGGGACCAUCAUGUCGGUCGUGCCUCGGUACGUACUGGUAUUGUUGGUUCCUCCCUUCUGACGAACCAUGAUGUCAUUUAUUUGGUGUCGUGGGAAUCAGGACUGUUACUUUGAAAAAAUUAGAGUGUUUAAAGCAGGCUCACGCUUGAAUACAUUAGCAUGGAAUAAUGAAAUAGGACGUUUGAUUCUAUUUUAGUUGGUUUCUAGGGAUCGACGUAAUGAUUAAUAGGGAUAUUGGGGGCAUUAGUAUUCAAUUGUCAGAGGUGAAAUUCUUGGAUUUAUUGAAGACUAACUACUGCGAAAGCAUUUGCCAAGGAUGUUUUCAUUAAUCAAGAACGAAAGUUAGGGGAUCGAAGACGAUCAGAUACCGUCGUAGUCUUAACCAUAAACUAUGCCGACUAGGGAUCGGAUGAUGUUAAUUUUUUUAAUGACUCAUUCGGCGCCUUACG
RNAcentral lists this ribosomal RNA (528 nucleotides) under uncultured Glomus. RNAcentral's name for it is "SSU rRNA". It matches the Rfam family "Eukaryotic small subunit ribosomal RNA", at positions 562 to 1092 of the family's 1831-position model. Lineage: Eukaryota; Fungi; Glomeromycota; Glomeromycetes; Glomerales; Glomeraceae. The record is from RNAcentral.